GACGAACGCUGGCGGCGUGCUUAACACAUGCAAGUCGAACGGAAAGGCCCUGCUUUUGUGGGGUGCUCGAGUGGCGAACGGGUGAGUAACACGUGAGUAACCUGCCCUUGACUUUGGGAUAACUUCAGGAAACUGGGGCUAAUACCGGAUAGGAGCUCCUGCUGCAUGGUGGGGGUUGGAAAGUUUCGGCGGUUGGGGAUGGACUCGCGGCUUAUCAGCUUGUUGGUGGGGUAGUGGCUUACCAAGGCUUUGCCGGGUAGCCGGCCUGAGAGGGUGACCGGCCACACUGGGACUGAGAUACGGCCCAGACUCCAAUGGGAGGCAGCAGUGGGGAAUAUUGCACAAGGGGCGGAAGCCUGACGCAGCAACGCCGCGUGGGGGAUGACGGCCUUCGGGUUGGAAACCGCUUUCGCCUGUGACGAAGCGUGAGUGACGGUAAUGGGUAAAGAAGCCCCGGCUAACUACGUG
Molecule: ribosomal RNA, 468 nt
Filed under: uncultured bacterium
Lineage: Bacteria
Description: partial 16S ribosomal RNA
Rfam family: Bacterial small subunit ribosomal RNA
Source: RNAcentral